Molecule: ribosomal RNA, 183 nt
Filed under: uncultured bacterium
Lineage: Bacteria
Description: partial 16S ribosomal RNA
Source: RNAcentral
CAGCAGUGGGGAAUAUUGCACAAUGGGCGCAAGUCCUGAUUCUUUCCUCGGAGAUGACCGAGUGUAUGAAGAAGGCCUUCGGGUUGUAAAGUACUUUCAGCGGGGAGGAAGGGAGUAAAGUUAAUACCUUUUUCUUAGUACGUACCCGAUAAGAAGCACCGGGCAAACCCGGUAAUACCGAUG